This 72-nucleotide transfer RNA is filed under the name Ovis aries (sheep). It matches the Rfam family "tRNA". Rfam says of the family: Transfer RNA (tRNA) molecules are approximately 80 nucleotides in length. Their secondary structure includes four short double-helical elements and three loops (D, anti-codon, and T loops). Further hydrogen bonds mediate the characteristic L-shaped molecular structure. tRNAs have two regions of fundamental functional importance: the anti-codon, which is responsible for specific mRNA codon recognition, and the 3' end, to which the tRNAs corresponding amino acid is attached (by aminoacyl-tRNA synthetases). tRNAs cope with the degeneracy of the genetic code in two manners: having more than one tRNA (with a specific anti-codon) for a particular amino acid; and 'wobble' base-pairing, i.e. permitting non-standard base-pairing at the 3rd anti-codon position. Lineage: Eukaryota; Metazoa; Chordata; Mammalia; Artiodactyla; Bovidae. The record is from Rfam by way of RNAcentral.
UCCCUGGUGGCUUAGAUGGUAAAGCAUCUGCCUGCAGUGCAGGAGAUCUGGGUUCGAUCCCUUGGUUGGGAA